CUACGGGCCGCAGCAGUGGGGAAUAUUGCACAAUGGAGGAAACUCUGAUGCAGCAACGCCGCGUGGAGGAUGACACUUUUCGGAGCGUAAACUCCUUUUAUAUAGGAAGAAGAUGACGGUACUAUAUGAAUAAGCGCCGGCUAACUCCGUGCCAGCAGCCGCGGUAAUACGGAGGGCGCAAGCGUUACGCGGAAUCACUGGGCGGAAAGAGCGGUAGGCGGAUUAAAAAGUCAGAAGUGAAAUCCUAUAGCUUAACUAUAGAACUGCUUCUGAAACUCUUAAUCUGGAAUAUGGGAGAGGUAGAUGGAAUUUCUGGUGUAGGGGUAAAAUCCGUAGAGAUCAGAAGGAAUACCGAUUGCGAAGGCGAUCUACUAGAACAUUAUUGACGCUGAGACGCGAAAACGUGGGGAGCAAACAGGAUUAGAUACCCGCGUAGUC
Molecule: ribosomal RNA, 438 nt
Filed under: uncultured bacterium
Lineage: Bacteria
Description: partial 16S ribosomal RNA
Rfam family: Bacterial small subunit ribosomal RNA
Source: RNAcentral